AAUUGAGUGGAAGGGUUUUUUAAUGGAGGUUGCUGGUUUCUGUGAUUUCUAAUCAUUAGAGUUAUGGUGAAAAUCCUUACUUUAUUU
Molecule: non-coding RNA, 87 nt
Organism: Turdus rufiventris (rufous-bellied thrush)
Lineage: Eukaryota; Metazoa; Chordata; Aves; Passeriformes; Turdidae
Source: the annotation of a GenBank genome assembly